ACACAAAGGCAGCUUUGUGAGGCGGCGACGGCUCCGCGGCCGCCCCAGGACAGAGCGGCCUGGGCAGAGGGCGGGCCGGGGUCGGCGCCGCGGAGGCGGGGAGGGAGGGAGGGUUGGAGGGUUGAGCCAGAGACCCGGGACCCCGUCCCCGCACACCUGCCAGUGCCCCGUAGCUUCGGCCGCCGGCACUGGCAGGAGAUGAAAGGCUGCUGCCGCCCGGUCGGAAGGACAUCGGCGCCCCCCAGGCCCGGUCCCCGCCCCAGUUCCUCGGGCCUUUCCUGCUGCCCCUGCCUGCGAGGGCCGACGACACGGAGAACAGGAUCCUGCGCCCAACCCAGGUCCCCGCCUUCUUUCAGAGGCCCAGGCCUGGACCCCGCUGAGCCGCAGAUGUGCGAGCAGGAGCGCCAGAGCCCCGAUGCCCGCCCAGCAGGAAGCGGGCGGGAGAUGGUUCCUUCCUUCUGUCCUGAGGGGGAACCCUGCACAGAGGGACCAUUGAGGGCCUGGCAUUGUCUGCCUAACUCACCCAGUGCCUCCCUCCCUGGGUGGGCCAUGCGGGGCCUUGACAGGAUUGCCCUGGUGCCGUCUUGGCAGUGGGUCUGGGUGGGAUCCUGGGGGCAGGGCUUCCCUGAGUGCAGACAGCUAGGCCUCCACCUGCCCCGGCCUCCCACCCAGGCUCAGAUUUCCAGGGCAUAAGGCUCCAUUGUCCCAGCACUGGUGGAGGCGGCCUGUCAAUUCAGCCUUGUGUUUGGUGGUUGGGAAAUUCCCAGCCAUGGGGGGCUGCAGGCAGGAAGGGGCUGCCCAGGUGUCCUGCACCCCAACUGAAGGGACUCCAUGAGGUUGGUUCCUGGGCAUCCCCUGCUGCCUGGAGCUGUCCCAGGCUGGACCUCAACCAUUCAUCAACCCUCAGGAGCAGUUGGGUGAGGAGCACCAGAAAUUCAAUGCUCCCUGGCGCUGCAUCCCCAGAGCCCUCCCAGCCUAAGAAGCCCCAUCUUUCUGUCUCCACGCAUGGAGAACUGCAGCUGUGAGGCCCAGGACCCUUAGCAGGACAUGCAGAGCUGGGCAGGGACCCAGGCUCAUGCUCCCAGCGUGGGUGGGGAACACAGAGCCCUGCCCAGAGGCUUGAACCUGGCACCACAGGGGUCUGGAAUUACACAGAAGACGGGUGACAGCCAAGGUGGAUCAUGAACGAUCCUGGGGCAGAGUCCAGGGCAGCUCAAGG
Molecule: long non-coding RNA, 1219 nt
Filed under: Homo sapiens (human)
Lineage: Eukaryota; Metazoa; Chordata; Mammalia; Primates; Hominidae
Description: HSALNT0311769
Source: RNAcentral